AUGGAUGGAUAUAUCGUACACGUUGUGCAAAAUGCUAGCAAUUACACACAACAUAAGUUCAACCACCAUUCCGUAAUUCACAUCACAAUAGCACCAUAUUUUCAAUUUUCAAGCAUUACAAGCAUGGUAUCCAACAAGUACCACGGUAGCACUUCACUUCUAACAUGUACAACUUUUGGCAUCACCAACAUUAGAGCAAAUCCAAUGGGGUUCGCGGAGUCGGCCAAGAGGAAGGGCCGGAGGCACGCCUCGGACGCGCGGGAUGAGGCCGCCGCGCAGCAGGAGGACACCAUCACCCGCGUCGCCGCCUUAACAAGGGAGGCGCUCUACAUGCUAGGGCUUAACCCUAGCCAGCACAGCCUCCUCAACGCCGCCGUCGCCGCGGCCAGCGCCGGCUCAUCGGCGUUUCCUCGGAUGGUGCUGCUCGACUCGCCCCGCGCGUCGGCUUGCAACCCAAUGUUCGGCUUCCAUGUGUACCCGCAGGCCUCCCGCCUCUCUGGAGAGUGCUCGCCCGACGUGGGCGUGGUCGCGCCUUCCACGCUCGCGCCCGCGCCCAUCGACCUCAAUGCCACCCGGGUGGCCGGUGGCUCGUCAUCCGGCGGCGCGAGGAAACGCGCGCGGCAGACGAGAGAAGUGGCUCCCGCGAGCAUGAUGACCGGGGUGGAGAUCAUGAAGGUGGAUCUCAACACCGUGUCGCCAAGGAAGAGGCCGUGGUUCAAGAAGAUGCAGGCUGAGAUGCUCAAGUUCGACGACGAGUGA
Molecule: ribosomal RNA, 759 nt
Filed under: Triticum aestivum (bread wheat)
Lineage: Eukaryota; Viridiplantae; Streptophyta; Magnoliopsida; Poales; Poaceae
Description: partial small subunit ribosomal RNA
Source: RNAcentral